GUGGGGAAUUUUUGGCAAUGGGGGAAACCCUGACCAAGCAACGCCGCGUGGAGGACGAAGGCCUUCGGGUCGUAAACUCCUGUCGGAGGGGACGAAAGCGGUUGGGGCGAACAGUCCCGACCGUUGACGGUACCCUAUGAGGAAGCCCCGGCUAACUCCGUGCCAGCAGCCGCGGUAAUACGGGGGGGGCAAGCGUUGUUCGGAAUUACUGGGCGUAAAGGGCGCGUAGGCGGUCCGGCAAGUCCCUCGUGAAAUCCCACGGCUCAACCGUGGAACUGCGGGGGAUACUGCCAGACUUGAGUCCGGGAGAGGGGAGUGGAAUUCCCAGUGUAGCGGUGAAAUGCGUAGAUAUUGGGAGGAACACCGGUGGCGAAGGCGGCUCCCUGGACCGGUACUGACGCUGAGGCGCGAAAGCUAGGGGAGCAAACGGGAUUAGAUACCCUAGUAGUCC
Molecule: ribosomal RNA, 451 nt
Filed under: uncultured bacterium
Lineage: Bacteria
Description: bacterial SSU rRNA
Rfam family: Bacterial small subunit ribosomal RNA
Source: RNAcentral